GAUUAUUGAGUUUGAAGAUGAACGCAGCGGCUGGAGCCUGUACGAAACUACUAGAGCUGGACUUUGCUGAAAGCCUCAAAGAUUUGAGAGAGCAUUUGAGAGAGAGAGAGAGAGUGAGAGAGAGAGAAUCCAUUAAAAAAGUCUUCUCUCCCUCUGCAGGAAAGAAGCUUAAAUUUAAAGAAGGAUGCCACAUAGAACCCGGCCUAUGACAGCACUCUUGUUGUUUACUGGUCUCAAUGUUAUUUUGGUAUCAACCAUUACUCCAGUCUAUGAUUUUGUCUGCUUUCUUCCAUACUGGGAGAGAAGGAGAGAACGUCGUCGUCUAGAACGCGAAGCUACUUUGGCAAAGGGAUCUGAAUCAACCUAAAUGGAUCUCCCCAUGUUAAGAGCUAGGAGAUAACAGGAUCUUUGGUUAGCAUGAAUAGCUUGUGUUUGUUGAUCACAGAAUGACACUAAUAUAUGAAGAUGUAGGAAAAAGAAGCCUUUGUUUGUUCACCUCUUGAAUUUUGUGGCUCAUAUUAUAUCUUUCAGUUGGGGGGAACAUGAUAGUUAUACAUGUCUAGCUGAAACAAUUUUUACCUGAGUAACUGUUAUAACUGUUUUCAUGCAAUGUUGUUAUGACUAUUUGAUGACUAUUGCUUAGUAAUCAUUUUUAGAAAGGUUUAAAUUUUGUAA
This is a long non-coding RNA of Camellia sinensis, 675 nucleotides long. RefSeq lists it as uncharacterized. The record is from RefSeq and is a predicted model, not a curated record. NCBI's taxonomy places the organism in Eukaryota, Viridiplantae, Streptophyta, Magnoliopsida, Ericales, Theaceae.